Lonchura striata (white-rumped munia) is the source of this 1365-nucleotide non-coding RNA. Lineage: Eukaryota; Metazoa; Chordata; Aves; Passeriformes; Estrildidae. The record is from RefSeq and is a predicted model, not a curated record.
CCCCGGCGCUGCCAGGCGGGGGGAGCCGGUCCCCGCUGCCCCCCGGCGUGCCCUUGUGUCCCGGAAUAUGGGCAAGGAGCGGGAGCAUCCACGCGGCGCUGCGGUGGGGCAAACGCGCUCCGAUUCCACACAUUAACAGAAAAAUUGGUGCUAACAGUGUUGCCGGUUUUAAAAUAAUAUUUCAUUUGUGCCCAAGGUCUUUUAGAACUGAUUGUGUUUGAGUUCAGGGCAUUAAAUGUCUCUUCAUUUAAACAUCCCGAGGAAAAAAAAUUAUGCAUUGGAGGAAUUAAAGUCUUGACCCUAUUUUAAUGGCCUCGAUGCAAGUCUUUAAACGUGGGAAAGGGCUGCUCGCUGAGAAUUUUACCUGUGCCGAAGUCUGUAGGAUUGGGGCCUUGGAAAAGGCAUUAUUUUAUCAGCUGUUGUUUGCAUCUGUCAGAGUUUGGGGUAACUUGAUAAAUGUUAAACAGGGAAGCAGAAAGUGCUGGUGAGGCCAGACUCGGAGAUAACGGCACAUUCAAUAGCUUAAUUUCACAAUUAGUUUACUGUAUUAUUGGAAGCAAAUCAUAUUUCACUGUGCCUACACUAGUGCUCUAUUUUUAGCCAUAAUCUAGCAAAAAAAGGAGGAACCUACUGAGAUGUAUUAUAACAUCGAAUGUGAACAAUUCUGUUAUCUCUCUUUUUACUCACUUUGUGUCAUACAUCUGGUUUGGAAUAAAGCUCAUGUAUUAAUUGAACAGAACUACCGUGGAUGGUUUGGAGGCUGCAAUUCCAAGGCAGAGGAAAGUUUCACACAACUCUGCAAGGAACCCAGCAAGUUACAGCCAUGCAAAAAGCAUCCAAGCACACAGUCUGCUCUCCCAAUAACUGGCAUAGCCAGAACAACUAUUUUUUAUUAAUUUAGAAUUACAAUGUAUUUGCCUCUUUGGUUGCACUUUUUUUGUUUUACUUUUCUUGAUUGUUUUUUUCAGGGUAAAGUUGUAAAUGAAAACGGCAUUUGAAAUGCUUCGAUGUAACCUUUGUGUUGCAUCAUCUUUUUUAUUGUAUUUUUAAGAACGAAAAGGAGAUAUAAAAUAAAAUUGAAGGAAUAUACCAAUCUACUGCCUUAGUACCAAACAUUUGAUCCCUUCCCUUUCCCCUGUGAUACAGACAGAGAUGGUUGCUGGAAGAAUAAAGCACCUUUCACGAGAGAUUUUGGCUGGACUCUCCCCAAAGUGUACAGUGGAGAAGAGACUGAGAAGAGCAAUGCUGUGAAGCUAAGAGAAGGAAGAAGAAACAUGUGCAAGACAGAAAAGGAAAAGAAAAACCGAUUGAUUUUAGUGGAAGAUGCACUCCUUUCCUAAAUAAAUUUUGUUGAUUUUGUUCAUA